GACGAACGCUGGCGGCGUGCUUAACACAUGCAAGUCGAGCGGUAAGGCCCUUUCGGGGGUACGACGAGCGGCGAACGGGUGAGUAACACGUGGGUGACCUGCCCUCCAGCUCUGGGAGUAAGCCUGGGAAACCGGGUACUAAUACUGGAUAUGACUCCAUGACGCAUGUUGUGGGGUGGAAAGCCUUGUGCGGCUGAGGAUGGGCCCGCGGCCUAUCAGCUUGUUGGUGGGGGAUGGCCUACCAAGGCGACGACGGGUAGCCGGCCUGAGAGGGCGACCGG
RNAcentral lists this ribosomal RNA (281 nucleotides) under uncultured bacterium. RNAcentral's name for it is "partial 16S ribosomal RNA". It matches the Rfam family "Bacterial small subunit ribosomal RNA", at positions 28 to 307 of the family's 1533-position model. The record is from RNAcentral.